RNAcentral lists this ribosomal RNA (469 nucleotides) under uncultured bacterium. RNAcentral's name for it is "partial 16S ribosomal RNA". It matches the Rfam family "Bacterial small subunit ribosomal RNA", at positions 29 to 507 of the family's 1533-position model. The record is from RNAcentral.
AGUGAACGCUGGCGGUAGGCCUAACACAUGCAAGUCGAACGGCAGCACAGUAAGAGCUUGCUCUUACGGGUGGCGAGUGGCGGACGGGUGAGGAAUACAUCGGAAUCUACUUUUUCGUGGGGGAUAACGUAGGGAAACUUACGCUAAUACCGCAUACGACCUACGGGUGAAAGCAGGGGAUCUUCGGACCUUGCGCGAUUGAAUGAGCCGAUGUCGGAUUAGCUAGUUGGCGGGGUAAAGGCCCACCAAGGCGACGAUCCGUAGCUGGUCUGAGAGGAUGAUCAGACAGACUGGGGCUGAGACACGGACAAGACUGCGAGGGGAGGAAGCAGUGGGGAAUGUACCGCAAUGGGAGAAAGAAUGACGGAGCAAUGCCGCGUGGAGGUAGAAGGCCCGCGGGUCAUGAACUUCUUUGCUCGGAGAUGAAACAAUGACGGUACCUGAGGAAUAAGCAUCGGCUAACUCUGUG